Molecule: ribosomal RNA, 250 nt
Filed under: uncultured bacterium
Lineage: Bacteria
Description: partial 16S ribosomal RNA
Rfam family: Bacterial small subunit ribosomal RNA
Source: RNAcentral
GAUCAUGGCUCAGGACGAACGCUGGCGGCGUGCCUAACACAUGCAAGUCGAACGGAAGUUAGAGCUUCGGUUUUAACUUUAGUGGCGAACGGGUGAGUAACGCGUGAGGAACCUGCCCUUCAGUGGGGGACAACAGUUGGAAACGACUGCUAAUACCGCAUGACACUUUUGAGGGACAUCCCUUAAAAGUCAAAGCUUUAUGUGCUGAAAGAUGGCCUCGCGUCUGAUUAGCUAGUUGGUGAGGUAACGG